Molecule: ribosomal RNA, 405 nt
Filed under: uncultured bacterium
Lineage: Bacteria
Description: bacterial SSU rRNA
Rfam family: Bacterial small subunit ribosomal RNA
Source: RNAcentral
CGCAACGCGAAGAACCUUACCUACUCUUGACAUCUAGCGAAGACUGCAGAGAUGCGGUUGUGCCUUCGGGAACGCUAAGACAGGUGCUGCAUGGCUGUCGUCAGCUCGUGUUGUGAAAUGUUGGGUUAAGUCCCGCAACGAGCGCAACCCUUAUCCUUAGUUGCCAGCACGUAAUGGUGGGAACUCUAGGGAGACUGCCGGUGAUAAACCGGAGGAAGGUGGGGACGACGUCAAGUCAUCAUGGCCCUUACGAGUAGGGCUACACACGUGCUACAAUGGUAUGUACAGAGGGAGGCAAGCUGGCGACAGUGAGCGGAUCUCUUAGAGCAUAUCGUAGUCCGGAUCGCAGUCUGCAACUCGACUGCGUGAAGUCGGAAUCGCUAGUAAUCGCAAAUCAGAAUGUUG